RNAcentral lists this small nuclear RNA (121 nucleotides) under Centruroides sculpturatus (bark scorpion). Its description in RNAcentral is "U5 spliceosomal RNA". It matches the Rfam family "U5 spliceosomal RNA". Rfam says of the family: U5 RNA is a component of both types of known spliceosome. The record is from RNAcentral. Lineage: Eukaryota; Metazoa; Arthropoda; Arachnida; Scorpiones; Buthidae.
GAGCUCAGGUUUCCCUUCAUUAUAUGCGUGCUAAUCUUUCGCCUUUUACUAAAGAUUACCGUGGAGGGGAACAUUACAAUGAGCCUAUAGGCAAUUUUUGAAAUCCCGCUUUACGCGGGAU